AAAGUCUAACCUGCUCUAUGAAAUAUUAUUUAAAUGGCCGCGGUAUUUUGACCGUGCAAAGGUAGCAUAAUAAUUAGUUUUUUAAAUGAGAACUGGAAUGAAUGGUUGAACGAAAAAAAUACUGUCUCAAUUUAAUUUUAAUUAGAAUUUUAUUUUUAAGUAAAAAAGCUUAAAUAACUUUAAAAGACGAGAAGACCCUAUAGAGUUUUAUAUUAAAUAAUUUAUUUAAAAAUUGAAGUAUUUAUUAUUUAUUUAUUUAAUUUAGUAUUUAGUUGGGGUGACUAAAAAAUUUAAUAAACUUUUUUUUUAUUUUUACAUUUAUUUAUGAGUAAUUGAUCCA
RNAcentral lists this ribosomal RNA (340 nucleotides) under Pedaria sp. CLS-2009a. Its description in RNAcentral is "partial 16S ribosomal RNA". Lineage: Eukaryota; Metazoa; Arthropoda; Insecta; Coleoptera; Scarabaeidae. The record is from RNAcentral. RNAcentral also lists the same sequence under 1 other name.